This is a long non-coding RNA of Sycon ciliatum, 1207 nucleotides long. RefSeq lists it as uncharacterized. The record is from RefSeq and is a predicted model, not a curated record. NCBI's taxonomy places the organism in Eukaryota, Metazoa, Porifera, Calcarea, Leucosolenida, Sycettidae. The transcript has 2 exons.
CGCUACUUGUUCAGCACGAUCUACGCGUGAUGUCCCACUUCAACACGGAGUGCAAGGAAUCUCUACUUCGACCAGACGCUGAUUUCAAGACAACAAAAAGAGCUGAGAAAGCCAUCACUCGGCAUCAGACUCAGUGCAUGCAGUCUUGUUGCAGUUAAAGGGGAACUCCACGAAAAAAUGAAACUUUGAUAGCCUGUAGAGUUUCGGGCGCUGAGUCGAAUGGUCUUGGUCCGAAGUCUCUACGACGAAGCGUUCUUGAGAUAUUUCACUUUGAAAUUGCAAAAACGGGGGCCGCGCCCUGACGUCAUGCGGCCAUUUGGUUACAUCAUCACGGGCUGCCUACGUCAUUGUGGCAAAGUCGUUUCUCUUCGCCAGUCUACAAGCACUAAUUUUAGUUGGUAUUUCAAGGGAAGAUGGGCGAUUCCGAACAAUCCUCUGUCCCCAGCAAUGAAGGCAGCGAUGCUGAGGCCAGUGAGGACGACCAACAGCCCACCGCCGCGUAUGGUUGGGGCAGGGAGCCCAGAUACUCUGCUGAGGAGCUGCCAUCGCGUGUAACAAAUGUGGAGGAAGAAGAUGCGUCAGCAGCUGCGUCCGACAGAAGACGAGUAGCUUGGCCACCAGAAUCUCGAUUCGUUUGGGACUCCGACUGGUGCGAGCGUGGACAAAAGUGUAUAGCCAUGCCCAGCCCGCGGGAAUGAUUUUGCUGGUAGGAUGCUGCCGUCGCUGUCGACACUGAGACGGCCCAAGGUUUCUUGCGUAGCGGACCUCGCAGAUUACGAGAUCGUAUCCUUGCAUUAGGCUGUGCUCAUCACUGCUCUUCGAGGUUAUCUCGACAUGCAGAAGCCGCCAAUGCCAGUGACAGAAGAGUCUGACAUUAGAUCUCUACGCUAUGCGGCACACAGGCAGUACACACUAUGUACACGGCAAAUUGGGCAAGCACGUUCGUUGUCGUCUUCCAGCCUGCGUUGUGAAUACCAUCAGGCAAAGAUAUCCAAAUCCUGCACCACCUCAGCCUUCUCAGGAGGCUUCCACCUGGAAUUUGGCAGGGAAACACGCUUCUCCAAGGCAGGAACAUGGAGGUUGCCAUUUGCAACCGCUACCACCUCACACAUGAGCUUGUCAACAUACUCAUAGCUCUUUCUGUCGUAUAAUUUUCUAUUUGGCCACAGUCUUCUUUAUGCUUUGAGAACUGGACUUUAUACCUUCC